Molecule: ribosomal RNA, 473 nt
Filed under: uncultured bacterium
Lineage: Bacteria
Description: bacterial SSU rRNA
Rfam family: Bacterial small subunit ribosomal RNA
Source: RNAcentral
AACGAACGCUGGCGGCGUGGAUUAGGCAUGCAAGUCGAACGAGAAAGACUCCUUCGGGGAUCGAGUAGAGUGGCAAACGGGUGAGUAACGCGUGGGAAACCUGCCUUUUAGUUGGGGACAACACUUCUAACGAGGUGCUAAUACCGAAUAAGAUCUUACUAUCGCAUGAUGGUUUGAUGAAAGACGGCCUCUGUUUCAAGCUGUCGCUGAAAGAUGGUCCCGCGUCCCAUUAGCUUGUUGGUGAGGUAACGGCUCACCAAGGCGACGAUGGGUAGCCGGCCUUAGCGGGUGAUCGGCCACACUGGGACUGAGAUACGGCCCAGACUCCUACGGGAGGCAGCAGUCGAGAGGCAUCCACAAUGGGGGAAACCCUGAUGGUGCGACGCCGCGUGGGUGAUGAAGGUUUUCGGAUCGUAAAACCCUUUCAGCAAGGACGAAUUUACAGGUGUUAAUACCACCAUGUAAAUGACGGU